Bos taurus (domestic cattle) is the source of this 531-nucleotide long non-coding RNA. Lineage: Eukaryota; Metazoa; Chordata; Mammalia; Artiodactyla; Bovidae. The record is from Ensembl.
CCCCUCCCCUGUGCGCGCUUUCCUGAACUGUGCCUUUGUGUUUUUGUAGGAGCAGUAGGUAAACCUGAUCUAGACAUUUUGCGUGUAGAUGCAUUUCCUCCACUCCUUUCAAGGACAGGAGCUGGGGGCGGGGAGCGGCAGCGGCAGCCGCUGCAGGUGGACCGAGCGCGUUCGCGGGCUCGGCCGCCCCCGCUCCAGCGCCUAGGAAUCCGGUCCGCGGUUUCGCGGCUGCUUGCCGCUCCCGGGGCUCUAGUGAUACCAGCGAAUAUUAGCAAACCCUGAUCCAGUCUCUUGUUGCCUGUCUUCUGAGAUUUAACAUCAGCUGCAUCUUCUGGAAAUGGGUCACAUCACUGGAUGUCAUCCAGAUGUGGAAACUGGGAACCACAGAGCAGAGCGACUGAUCACAUUUUCUAAAAACAUUUGGCCUGUGAUCCAAGAGCUGACUGAAAUAUUUCAAGGCAUAUUUUUCUAGAUAUUCCAGAAAAAAAAAAUUCAAAAUUCUCUUUUAUUCUAAAAUCCAAUCAUUCAUAU